Molecule: unclassified non-coding RNA, 220 nt
Filed under: Hevea brasiliensis (rubber tree)
Lineage: Eukaryota; Viridiplantae; Streptophyta; Magnoliopsida; Malpighiales; Euphorbiaceae
Source: RNAcentral
GUUGACUGUCUUUGCAAGCUCUAAACAUUUGUAGUUUAACUUAAGAAUGUCAAGGUUUAAGCUUGAUCAUGGAAAUGUCAUCACAAGGUUCCCCGUAAAAACACUGUAACCUUAAAUUCUAGUCCAAGUUCAGCUGCAUGGUUUAAUGUUACUCUUUCCUAAUGGCUUAACUAAAUUGUCACCAAAUAAAAAAUAUUUUCUAGAAAUCUGAUUCUUGGAC